UACGUAGGGGGCAAGCGUUACCCGGAUUUACUGGGUGUAAAGGGAGCGUAGACGGUUAUGCAAGUCAGAAGUGAAAGCCCAAAGCUCAACUUCGGGACUGCUUUUGAAACUGUGUAACUAGAGUGCAGGAGGGGUAAGCGGAAUUCCUAGUGUAGCGGUGAAAUGCGUAGAUAUUAGGAGGAACACCGGCGGCGAAGGCGGCUUACUGGACUGUAACUGACGUUGAGGCUCGAAAGCGUGGGGAGCAAACAGG
Molecule: ribosomal RNA, 253 nt
Filed under: uncultured bacterium
Lineage: Bacteria
Description: partial 16S ribosomal RNA
Rfam family: Bacterial small subunit ribosomal RNA
Source: RNAcentral